UGCACACAAUAAGCAACUUAGUCGUCUGC
RNAcentral lists this small RNA (29 nucleotides) under Bombyx mori (domestic silkworm). RNAcentral describes it as "ovarian small RNA-8483". Lineage: Eukaryota; Metazoa; Arthropoda; Insecta; Lepidoptera; Bombycidae. The record is from RNAcentral.